AAGUGUGCAUGAUAUUGGUGGUGUAACAUGUUGGAGAGGACAGCCGAGAAAUUGGGUUGUAGGUUGUUUUUUUUUUUUUCCGACAGAGUCUCUAUCUGUUGCCCAGGUUGGAGUGCAGUGGUGCAAUCUCCCGGCUCACUACAACCUCUGCCUCUGGGGUUCAGGCGAUUCUCCUGUGUCAGCCUCCCGAGUAGCUGGGAUUACAGGCGUGCACAACCACGCCCGGCUAAUUUUUGUAUUUUUAGUAGAGACGGGAGUUUCAUCGUGUUGGCCAGGCUGGUCUCAAACUUCGUACCUCAGGUGAUCUGCCCGCUUCGGUGGGUUGUAGCUUUUAGCGGGAGCUAAAGUGUUCUGGGAUGGAGGUGGGAAGUAGGAUUUGGCCGGCUGAGUCUUCUAGAGGCAAUAUUGGGGUGUUGGUCUUCCCCAAGGGGAAGGGUGGUGAGGCUGAGGGAGAAGCAGUUAUGUUUUCAGCUGGGCAAACAUGGACGGUUGCCCGUAGAAACUUUGCCACUGUACUUCAGAACGUUGCCCUAGUCGUUGGAGGAGAACAAUGUGUUCCCUUUCUAGCCACCCUGGUCCACGGAGGGAGGAGGGAGAGAGAGAAUGUUUCCUCUUCGGCUGUUGUGGCUUCAGAGUUUCUCUUCUUUCGGAGGUUUUGUGGUAGUGGCUGGCAGUUAUUAGUAUGCCUCAUGGCUUUUAAAUUUCCAGAUCUUUUUGAUUUAGAAGUGGAAAUUUCCUAAUUACUUGAAGUCUUGUAGAAUUCCAUAAUGUUGUGAUUCUUGCCCACUAUCUUAAGUGAGACUUUGCAUGAGACCUAUGGAAAUUACGGCAGCAUUCCCCUUAGAAUCUGGCUUGAAUCAGCUUUUGUGUAGGAAACUGCUAGCCUUUUAAAAAAAUAUAUUGUAACCUUGUUUCAUCCUCAAAUCUAAAUGUGUAAUGAGUUUUCUUUUGGUGGGGAGGGGCGGUGGGUUUGAGUUAAGACCACAGCUAGGAUGAAAGGCAAAGAGAAAAACAAACUGUGGAAGCCAAGCCUGUUCUGUGGCUGGAUUUUACUUGUAUUGGAAGAAGUUCUAUGUUUUGUAAAUUUGUGUAUUGGUUUUGAUUUGUUUCCUCUGAUAGUUUAGUAUUUGGAUAGUUUAGUGUUACCUCAGCUACACUGAAGGAAUAGACCUUAGUCCUCACAAGUAUAAGUUCUAGCUUGGAAGCCUGGGUUCUGCAGUAGCUGUGGAACUUAAGCCUCUGAGCUCAGGGAUGCAGAGGCAUUGAGUUACUACCAAGGGCCUGAUCUUUUCUUUAGCAGGCAUCUGUGUUAAUUGUUUCGAAAGGUGGUGAUCAGUUUUACAGCCUAUUAUAAAGGAGAUUUUUGCCUACUAUAAAACUAAUCCCCCUGAAAGAGUGAGUAAACAUAACUUUUUGUGUGUUGACUUCCACAAGGGAAGGAGUUGGCACUUACACUCUGACUUUUGAUUCAGUCGUCCUUCUUGAGCCAUUUUUGCAGGGGAUCAGUUUGGAGUGGGCGUUAACAAUGUUAUUUUUUUUUUUCUUCUCCAGAACACCUUCCACCAUGACCACCUCAGCAAGUUCCCACUUAAAUAAAGGCAUCAAGCAGGUGUACAUGUCCCUGCCUCAGGGUGAGAAAGUCCAGGCCAUGUAUAUCUGGAUCGAUGGUACUGGAGAAGGCCUGCGCUGCAAGACCCGGACUCUGGACAGUGAGCCCAAGUGUGUGGAAGAGUUGCCUGAGUGGAAUUUCGAUGGCUCUAGUACUUUACAGUCUGAGGGUUCCAACAGUGACAUGUAUCUCGUGCCUGCUGCCAUGUUUCGGGACCCCUUCCGUAAGGACCCUAACAAGCUGGUGUUAUGUGAAGUUUUCAAGUACAAUCGAAGGCCUGCAGGUGUGUAUAGCACAGCUAUGGAUGCCCCUCCUCAAUCUGUGAAUGCUGUGAAGGGGAGGGAGAAGACAUUCUGAAAUCAGCAUUGGGAAGACUAGGCAAUUUCAGCACUAUUUUAAGAAUCUGAGUGAUUCUUUUCCCUGAACUUCUGCUUUGAGGAAGAGAUAAUAUGGCCCAUCUUUCUAUGGUCUUCUCUGUUGGUUGCAUAAAAUAGCAUUGGAUUUGUCCAGAUCUGUUUGCCAGUCUUGGAGUCCCCAGUAACAGCCUUCCUGCCUGGAAUGUAGGCCAGGACAAAUGUAAACCAAUGGACAAAUGUUUCUCAAAAAUUAUAGAAUGGCUCCAAGUGCCUGAGAAAUGAAGAAUAAAUCUGACAACCAGAAGCAGCUGUCUUGUGAAUAGAGGGUUAAGUGCCUGGCAUUUGGUGCUUGGGAGGUGGCCAGAAUGCAGAUAAGGUGAAAGUUGCCGUGUUCUAAAUCCACUCCCGUGUGACUUGGUUGUAACUGAGUUUAGUUAAAACUGAAGUCUUUCAGAGUCUUCCUACAGAUGUACAAUUAACAGCUUCUCUCAUUUUUCUGACUCAGUGACUCAGUGAUCCCAAGAAGGCCUAUACUGGGUCAGUUCAUACCAUAGUGCACACCUCAGUUGUAUAGAAUCCAAGGACUAUUCUCCCAUCAGCAUCAGUAUUCAGCAUCUAUGUCUUUAGAUCCCUGAUGGCGUAUUAUUGACUCUUUUUUCUAGAGACCAAUUUGAGGCACACCUGUAAACGGAUAAUGGACAUGGUGAGCAACCAGCACCCCUGGUUUGGCAUGGAGCAGGAGUAUACCCUCAUGGGGACAGAUGGGCACCCCUUUGGUUGGCCUUCCAACGGCUUCCCAGGGCCCCAGGGUAAGUCUCCUUGGGUUAGAGGUGAAAUUCCCAGAAGUGUCUAACUGUGCAGGAAUGCCCCUUCGCAGGGAUGGGAAUGACUUUCAGAAUCAAGAAGCAAAAUAAUACAGUAAAGGCGAAACAGCCCUCACAUCACCAAAGUCCAAAAAUGGAUAUGAAUAUAUAAAGUAAGGUUUUAGGGGGAACCUUUGGCCCCACUGAAGCUGUGGUGAAGAGGAACUCCCCUAUUGCCCCUCCCCUGCCCCGCACCUCCAGAUGAAGGCAAGGAUAGUGAUUCAAGAGGGCAAGGCUUAAGGGCCUUCUGAUCUCUGACUUUGGGAUUCUCUGGAUUUCUUGACUCUUAGCGUUUUGUCUUGAUGCUUCUGUAGGUCCAUAUUACUGUGGUGUGGGAGCAGACAGAGCCUAUGGCAGGGACAUCGUGGAGGCCCAUUACCGGGCCUGCUUGUAUGCUGGUGUCAAGAUUGCGGGGACUAAUGCCGAGGUCAUGCCUGCCCAGGUAAGUAUAGCUCCAAUCCAUCAAUGAAGAAGGGUAGGUAGGUGCACAUAGGACUUUUGCUAGUAAGGGCUGCUGAUACACCACUCACUAACCCAAAACCUAAGAACGGGUUGGAGUACAGGUGAGAAGAGAACAGGUUUAGGAGCUUCUGAGUUGGAGUGAGCAGUUAGCUUUGUUUUAAUGGCCAAGCUUCUCGUUUCUAGUGGGAAUUUCAGAUUGGACCUUGUGAAGGAAUCAGCAUGGGAGAUCAUCUCUGGGUGGCCCGUUUCAUCUUGCAUCGUGUGUGUGAAGACUUUGGAGUGAUAGCAACCUUUGAUCCUAAGCCCAUUCCUGGGAACUGGAAUGGUGCAGGCUGCCAUACCAACUUCAGCACCAAGGCCAUGCGGGAGGAGAAUGGUCUGAAGUGAGUACCUUCUGCUGGGGCCAUCUUUAAUCUCCUGUGGCAGAAAACUUGGGAGGAGACUUAGCAAUCUCUCAGCAAAGUCUCCUUUGCAGGAUGACUUGCAAAUAUUUGCCAAAGAUGAGUAAACUUGACUUCUCAGUCUGGAUGUACUUUAGGUGUUGACACUUGCCUUCACAUUCUCUCAUUUUGUUCCUAUUUGAAAAAUACCAAAUAAUACUUCUGAUUCACAGUGAUAAAUAUUUGUUAUAAUUUAUAUAAUAUAUAUUAGUCAUAUAUCAUUAUAUAAAUAUAUAUCAAUAUAUAUAUUUGUGACAUGUCAUGGUGACGGAAAAGUUGACAAAUUCAUGCAUUUGAAAAUCUUUUAGAACUAAAUUAGUAACAAUACAGGCAUGUGGAUAAGCUUAAUGCUUAUGAGGGGGAGAAAGUUUAAAAUGAUUAGUCUUUUCAACAAAUAGUAACUUUCUACUGCUUGUCGGGCACUGUUCUGACCACUGAGACACACAGGUAAGAAGACGCAGCCACUGCCCUCAUGAAGUAUUUGUUCUACUGUAUCAUAUUUUGGUGCACUUCAUUCUUGGCUCCAUACCUGGAGACAAGGUUGGACCGCCAUCUUUUCUGUUUCCUCUAGGUACAUCGAGGAGGCCAUUGAGAAACUAAGCAAGCGGCACCAGUACCACAUCCGUGCCUAUGAUCCCAAGGGAGGCCUGGACAAUGCCCGACGUCUAACUGGAUUCCAUGAAACCUCCAACAUCAACGACUUUUCUGCUGGUGUAGCCAAUCGUAGCGCCAGCAUACGCAUUCCCCGGACUGUUGGCCAGGAGAAGAAGGGUUACUUUGAAGAUCGUCGCCCCUCUGCCAACUGUGACCCCUUUUCGGUGACAGAAGCCCUCAUCCGCACGUGUCUUCUCAAUGAAACCGGCGAUGAGCCCUUCCAGUACAAAAAUUAAGUGGACUAGACCUCCAGCUGUUGAGCCCCUCCUAGUUCUUCAUCCCACUCCAACUCUUCCCCCUCUCCCAGUUGUCCCGAUUGUAACUCAAAGGGUGGAAUAUCAAGGUCGUUUUUUUCAUUCCAUGUGCCCAGUUAAUCUUGCUUUCUUUGUUUGGCUGGGAUAGAGGGGUCAAGUUAUUAAUUUCUUCACACCUACCCUCCUUUUUUUCCCUAUCACUGAAGCUUUUUAGUGCAUUAGUGGGGAGGAGGGUGGGGAGACAUAACCACUGCUUCCAUUUAAUGGGGUGCACCUGUCCAAUAGGCGUAGCUAUCCGGACAGAGCACGUUUGCAGAAGGGGGACUCUUCUUCCAGGUAGCUGAAAGGGGAAGACCUGACUUACUCUGGUUAGGUUAGGACUUGCCCUCGUGGUGGAAACUUUUCUUAAAAAGUUAUAACCAACUUUUCUAUUAAAAGUGGGAAUUAGGAGAGAAGGUAGGGGUUGGGAAUCAGAGAGAAUGGCUUUGGUCUCUUGCUUGUGGGACUAGCCUGGCUUGGGACUAAAUGCCCUGCUCUGAACACGAAGCUUAGUAUAAACUGAUGGAUAUCCCUACCUUGAAAGAAGAAAAGGUUCUUACUGCUUGGUCCUUGAUUUAUCACACAAAGCAGAAUAGUAUUUUUAUAUUUAAAUGUAAAGACAAAAAACUAUAUGUAUGGUUUUGUGGAUUAUGUGUGUUUUGCUAAAGGAAAAAACCAUCCAGGUCACGGGGCACCAAAUUUGAGACAAAUAGUCGGAUUAGAAAUAAAGCAUCUCAUUUUGAGUAGGGAGCGAGGGAAGUGGUUCUUAGAAAGAUGGUGAUCUGGGAUUAGGCCCUCAUGACCCUUUUGGGUUUCUGCCCUGCCCACCCUCUGGAGAAGGUGGGCACUGGAUUAGUUAACAGACGACACGUUACUAGCAGUCACUUGAUCUCCGUGGCUUUGGUUUAAAAGACACACUUGUCCACAUGGAUUUAGAGAUAAGAGUUGGCUGGUCAACUUGAGCAUGUUACUGACACAGGGGGUAUUGGGGUUAUUUUCUGGUAGGAAUAGCAUGUCACUAAAGCAGGCCUUUUGAUAUUAAAUUUUUUAAAAAGCAAAAUUAUAGAAGUUUAGAUUUUAAUCAAAUUUGUAGGGUUUCUAGGUAAUUUUUACAGAAUUGCUUGUUUGCUUCAACUGUCUCCUACCUCUGCUCUUGGAGGAGAUGGGGACAGGGCUGGAGUCAAAACACUUGUAAUUUUGUAUCCUGAUGUCUUUGUUAAGACUGCUGAGGAAUUAUUUUUUUUCUUUUAUAAUAAGAAAUAAACCCCACCUUUAUUCCUUCAUUUCAUCUACCAUUUUCUGGUUCUUGUGUUGGCUGUGGCAGGCCAGCUGUGGUUUUCUUUUGCCGUGACAACUUCUAAUUGCCAUGUACAGUAUGUUCAAAGUCAAAUAACUCCUCAUUGUAAACAAACUGUGUAACUGCCCAAAGCAGCACUUAUAAAUCAGCCUAACAUAAGA
RNAcentral lists this small RNA (6135 nucleotides) under Pan troglodytes (chimpanzee). RNAcentral's name for it is "processed transcript". Lineage: Eukaryota; Metazoa; Chordata; Mammalia; Primates; Hominidae. The record is from RNAcentral.